AUCCUUUGCAGACGACUU
RNAcentral lists this non-coding RNA (18 nucleotides) under Arabidopsis thaliana (thale cress). The record is from RNAcentral. RNAcentral also lists the same sequence under 1 other name. Lineage: Eukaryota; Viridiplantae; Streptophyta; Magnoliopsida; Brassicales; Brassicaceae.